Panonychus citri (citrus red mite) is the source of this 3359-nucleotide long non-coding RNA. RefSeq lists it as uncharacterized. The record is from RefSeq and is a predicted model, not a curated record. The transcript is spliced from 4 exons. Lineage: Eukaryota; Metazoa; Arthropoda; Arachnida; Trombidiformes; Tetranychidae.
AGAAAAAAGAAGGAAAAUUUUUUAUUAAUAUUCCAUUUAAAUUGGAGUUUUUUGAUAAUUUUGCUAAGUUAUGUUUUCUCCAUCUUUAUAUUUAUAUUGUGAUAUCAAUUGGAAUCAUUCAAGUAUCAGCCAACAAUCAAAAAUAUCUUUUAAAUGGUCAAAAGGAAUAUAAGAGAAAAACAAAAUUAAUGAUGGAAUCGUCGUAUAAUAUCAACACCAAACAAGAGCCACAAGGAGAGAAGACGAAAGAGAAAGAAAAGAGAACAGUGUCAAUAAGAAAUUAGCGGAGACUCUAAUUAUUGGUGAUGUUAAUUAACAACAAUCUAUCUGAAUGAUGAGGCUCCAAGUUCUCAUUUGAUUAGAAUUUCUUUAAGGCAAAUUGUAAUUCGUUUGAAUAUCUUGGGUUUGCUGGUUCAACGUUCGCCGUCAAUGUUAUUGGUGAUUGGAAAUGGAUAAUGAUGAUGAAAAGCAUGAAGAAAAUGGGAAAGAACGAGGAAAGUGAAAGUAAACUUAAUCACGGAAGAAUUAACCUGAUGAGAUUUGGUAUCUUUCAAUUUUGACCGGAAGUUGUUGCCCAAAUCGACAAGAAAAAAAAGAACUAAUUUGUUGUGAAAAGUUUUUUUUCUUUCUUCGAUUUUUAUAUCUCAAAACUCAUCAUUACAAUUAAUUUGAUUGUGAAUUGAUUGUUUUCCUCUACUAAUAUUUUAUUUUCUCUUUUUUUAGUUUUCGUUCAAUUUGAUGUCCUCUCUCACUCCCUUUUAAUAAUGUAACUUUUUUUUGCUAACUCGAUAAUCGGGAAGUAAUCAAAACGAUUAUCAUCAACACCAUCAUUAUCAUGAUCAUCUUUAACCUCACUUUAUAAUCAUGAUAAUCAACCAGAUUAACAACUAACGACAAAUUAAUACAAUAAUAAUAAUCAACAUCCAACUAAAAGUUACCAGGAAGCUGUUGUUAAUUAGAUAAUCACAAUCAAGGAAUCAACCACAACUUCAAUUAAUCUUUAAUCUUUAAUCUUUAAUCAAUGGAUCAACUUAUUGAAAGCUUAUUAAUUAUCUCAAUUUUUGAUGAUUUGAUUAAUCAGGACAAUACAGAUAAGAUGUACAGGUAACUCUUAUUUCAAAUAAAAACAAAAGCAAAUGAAAAUGGAGACAAGAUGAUUAAGGAAACUUGAUAAUCAGGAACUAGUUCAAAUGCUCUAAAUGGAUUUUGAAUACAGAACGAAGUGUCGAACCAUCGAAUUGAUACUCUACAGGAUUAAUUUCGAGAAAUGGAAAUCAGAUUGGUGACAAUUAAUUAGAUGAUCAAAGUCGACAAUCAGUCAAGUUAAUCUGUUAAAUGAUAAAAAGUCCAGACGGAAGCAAAUUAACCAAUAUAAGUCAAUCAACCUUAUCAGAAUUUUGUUAAUUUUAAUUGUUGAUUAAUUUUACCAUCAACUAAAUCAUCCUAAAUUGAAAUAAUUAAUAUUACGAUGAUUAUGAUUGUAAAAUUGAUGUCGAUCUUUAAAAGUUGAUCAAAAUUUUGAUACUAUUUAACCUUACAAUUAACAUAUUGAACAAUCAACUCUACUUAACAUGUUAUAUGAAGUGAGAAUGAUUAAUUUAAUUAUUAUGAUUGUUAACUAAUAAUUGUUUUCUCGUCAACAACUUGAUAUUGAACUCGUACAAUUAACAAUCAUCAAGUGAAAACUGUCGACCUUCAAUUGUUGUAUAAUAUUGAUUGUUAUUAGUUGAUUAGUGGUUAGUAAAUUGAUCAAAAAUAUAAAGGAUAAAAAAUUAAUCAUCCAAACUAAUCAACUUAACUCAAGUUGAUUAACGAUGAAAAAUUAAUCAAGACAAAAGUGACAAUUGAUUUGCAAAUGAAAAAAAUACUUUCUCACUCAAAUCCAUCACUAUUAAUUGUCGAUAAUUAAUCAAAUCGUCUCAUCACGUAGUUAAACUGAACAAUAGUUAAUUUUUUCUCUAAUUAUCUUAAUCAACCAAAUUAACUUUCAACUAAUCAAAUUAUUUUAUUGUCUUUUUUUUCAGUUAUCAACCAAUCGGAGGUAAUAAGGAUGAGGAGGCCAAAGGUCAAGCAUUUACCUGUCAAUAAGUUAUAAAUGUUUCAUACUUGACAUUAUGGCCUAGAAGUUAAUUAACUACGAAAAUUAAAUUGUAGUUAAUCCUUUUCCAUGUCUCAUCUGUAAUUUAUGUGUAAAUUUAAUUUCUCAUCUCACUACCAAUUGUUGACUUGAUUGUACACUAAUUAUUUAGAUUACAAUCAGAUCUAAUGUUAAUACAAUAAUUAACGAUCUAUUGUACUGAUUAGAUCUGAUUGUUAACAUUUAAUAAUUUGCCGUUUAUCUUCAUCAUCUUUAAUCAAAUCAUAACAACAAUUACAUAAUAUACUGAUAUUAUCUGUAAUCACAACCCAUCGUUAAUUGUUUACAAUUAACAAUAACUUAGCAUUUGAUUUGUUUCUGUCAAAACAAUUUUUUUUCCUAUUAUUAUUAACUAACAAAUUUACCUCCCAAAAUUAACUGUUCACAAUCAUAAUUGUUAUCCAUUCAGUUUAAUUUGAUUAUAAUUUAAAUAAUUCACAGUUUGUACUUGAUGAUAACUGAAAGAAGUGUUAAAUUAUAAUAGUUAACAAUAAUUCAUUUAGUUGAUUCAAUUCAGACAGGAAGUUGAUUAAUAUAUAAAUAUUAUUGUUUAUUAAAUUACUUUUGGAUGAAUGAAGAUAAUUUGAAAAUUGAAUAAUGUUAAUUAACUUAUGACCUCAAAUUUGUUACAAAAUCAAAUUGAAUGAGUAGUGAUUGUGAUUUGUAAUAGUUAAUCAACCCUAUGGUUAAUUACCAUCAAUGGAAAUACAAAAAAAAAAUUAAGUCUCUUGCUCAUUCAAAUUGAUAAUUGAACAAUCAAUAAUAGCAAUUAAGAUUAAUGUAAUCCAUUGAAUGAUUAACAAUUAACGAUUCAAGAGGCUUUUUAACAAAGUUGUUUAAUCAAAAAAGGAUCAAAACUGGUCAAUGAUUUAAGUCAAAGGAUUCAAUUGUAUUCCUAUGGGACUGUUAACAAUUAAGGAAGUGAAUGAAGCAAAGACAAUCAAGUAACAAUUAAAGUGAACUAUUAACUUAAUAAAUUAUUUGUAGUAAAAUAAAUCACGAAGAAAACCGGUAAACAAAUCAGGUUCGAGGUCAGAUUUAAGUGAUGAUUUACAAGAGAGAGAAAGUGAAAUGAGAGAGAAAGAGCCUUAAUUUGAUUUGGAAAUUAAGAACUGAAUUCAGGAUAAAUCAGAAAAAAAUGAUGAAGAUAAGAAAGAGAAAAGAAAGAGACCGGAAGAGCAAAUUUCUUCCUCACAAACACGACUGACUCUCUCUCUCUCUC